This 65-nucleotide transfer RNA is filed under the name Limnodrilus hoffmeisteri. Its description in RNAcentral is "tRNA-Lys". The record is from RNAcentral. Lineage: Eukaryota; Metazoa; Annelida; Clitellata; Tubificida; Naididae.
CUGAGCGGAGAGCUAGUUACAGCGUCUAACUUUUAAUUAGGAGAAAAUAAAUUUAUUUCCGCUCC